GUUUGUGUGUCUCUGUCUUUCCCAAGAACUUAGCUUUGUCUUAAACUCCGUAUAAGCUCUCCUGCAGUCCCUUCACUCUCUCUUCUUGGUCACUGAAGAAAAUCAAGAAAUGAGCAGGGAAAGCAUAGAAGAAGGAGCUACCUCAAGCCCUCUGCUUCUCAAUGAUAGAUCUCAGAUACGUGGACGAGACGAUGCCAGUCUUGGUGGAGAUGGGCAGAGUGGAGGUUCUUCAGCAACAACUGUAGUGGUGAUAAGCACCAUGGUUGCUGUCUCUGGUUCUUAUGUUUUUGGCUCAGCUGUAGGGUAUUCAUCACCCACUCAGUCUGGGAUCAUGAAUGACCUGGGUCUCUCCGUGGCAGAGUACUCACUAUUUGGUUCUAUAUUAACAAUUGGAGCAAUGGUAGGCGCAUUAAUGAGUGGGAAGAUUGCAGAUUACACAGGUCGAAGACUCCUAAUGGGCUUUUCAGAAAUAUUCUGCAUCAUAGGAUGGCUUGCAAUAGCAUUCUCAAAGGUUCUCUUUCCGUGUCUCCUUUCCAUUCACUAUUUCAUUAAUUUGUUCAUUCUCUGUAUGAUUGCCAAAUAGAAUGAUAUAGAAUGAAAGCUUUCAUUUCUUUACAUGCAUGGUUACAAAGAAGUGAACCUUGGAUUGUCUUGGAGACAUUCAUUACUGAAUUCCCAAGGAUAAGCUACCUUUGAACUAAUGCUGAAGAUUUAAGCAAUAGGAUAUUGGAUCAUCUUUAUUGUGCAAAAGCAAUUCUUCUUUCCAGCAGCAUCCACAUUCUUUAGUGGAUGUAAUUUUAAAUGAUCAUAACUAUCAGAGGACAGAUAAAACUAUAAUGAAGUUUUGAAUAGCAUUAUUUUUCUUGGUUUUAGUUUACUUCAUUAACAUUCAAUGCAUGUUGAAAGGCUUCUUGGUGGCUUGAUGUUGGAAGACUGUUGGUAGGAUACGGGAUGGGGCUUCUUUCUUAUGUGGUACCAAUUUAUGUAGCUGAGAUUACGCCCAAGAAUCUGCGAGGAGCAUUCACAACAGCUCAU
RNAcentral lists this unclassified non-coding RNA (1035 nucleotides) under Hevea brasiliensis (rubber tree). The record is from RNAcentral. Lineage: Eukaryota; Viridiplantae; Streptophyta; Magnoliopsida; Malpighiales; Euphorbiaceae.